AUUCAACAGUAACCUGUCUGUCAGUGCCUAAUCAGCUGGAGGUGUAAAUGACUUGAUCUAAUUAUAAAUUUGUUAAGGCAAUUAGCAUGGGCAGACUUGUUGCUAUUAUUAUGGAAAUUAGAAGGGGAGGGGAGAGAAAGCACAGGAGCUGAAGGAUUGUGUAGAAAUUUUACUAUUUUCACAAUAACUGUCACAUGUACUGUUACAGAGCAUUUUACAAAGCGGAGGAAAUGGGAUAUAAAAACUUCUGCACCACUGAACUCUGAGAUUGUUGUGGAGUUCUUUAAGGAAAGUGAAAGUAUGUGUGCUGCAGCUCUGGACGCUGACCUUUAACAUGCUGAGAUGAGUAACUCAUCGCCGCUGGUUCGUAUCACACAGCUGAUGCAGCUGCAAGAACUGGGGAUAAAAUCCAGUCAGAUCACAUUUCCAAGGGUAACUCUGUCUUCGGCCACAAGUCUCUGUGUGCGGCAUGAUGAUCCUCAGAAUCCUGCAAAGUCCAGGGCCACGAUUAUUAACCCAUACAACCCAGACAGUUCCUCCAGCUGGCCCAUCAAUGAUGCUGACUCUGUAUUAGUUAAUCCAAGCAGGCCAUUACUGGUGCUUAGAGCGGGAAGCGUAACACAGAUUUAUGACGUUGAAAAGAAAAAUCUCUACAGACAGUAUGAUUUCUGGCAAAGGAUCACCUUCUGGAUUUGGCUUGAUUCUGACACACUGGCUGUCAUCACAUCUGGAGAUGUUUAUCAUUGGAAUAUAAAAGAACUGGAGCCCCAGUGGAUGUUCUCCCCAUGCUCAGAAAUGUGGAGUACAGAAAUUGUUGGAUACCAUCAGGACCACAACAAGCAGUGGCUGGCAAUCUCCGGUCUACGACUAAGCCAGAGUGGACAUGUGACUGGACAAUCUCAGCUGUACUCUAUGGAAGGACGUCUGGGGCAAGUGAUCGAGGCACAGGCAGUGGCUCUACCUCAGUAUACAUUUUCACUGAACAAACAUCCGUCAUCAGUAUUUGUGGCAGCAGUGCGGGGAAGUCAGAAGAAAUCUGGCCAGCUGCAUGUGAUUGAGCUGGGCCCUCACAAACCUGGAAAUGCAUCACUGAUUACCAGCAGAGGGAACCUCCCUUUCCAGACUGGGUCACAAGAUUUUCCUAGUGCAAUACAGUAUAUGCCUAAGCUCGGCCUGCUCUUUAUCCUCUCCAAAUAUGGCUUCCUGUUCCUAAGCGAUCUGGGGUCAGCCCAGCUUAUCUAUACCGUGCAGAUCACGACCAACAUCAUCUUUGCUACCAUCUCAGACACCAAAACAGAGGGUAUUGUUGGAGUGUGUAAAAAUGGAAAGGUGCUGUCUCUUUCAGUCUGUAAACACACACUAUAUCAGUUCCUACAGCGUCAUACUGUGAGCCCUUGUAUUGUACAUCGGUUGCUACCAAUCCUGGGAUACACAAAGUACAAAGUCACGAGUGUGUGAAGUGGAUGUGUAGUGAUAAAGGAACAUAACUGCAGUGUUUGGAAAAAUACUUGCAUUCACAGAAUGGACCUGAUCCUCCUAAAAAUGACUUCUCGCCUUUCUUUGUGGAAAAAUCUUCUUCUGCUGCCGUGCACUUGGCACUAAUCUAGGCUGAAGGACACUCUAGCUUCCUUUCAUUAUGCCUGAAGAACACCCACAUCACCUGAAGAGAAAUGAAUGGCCUACUGCACAAGAUAUGAAAUCUGGAGAGAAGGCUAGCCUGCAGGUGCAACUGUGCAACAAGGCACCAAGGAUCAUGCACAACAGAGGCAUGGAGCUUGCAUAGUUUUUGUGCCAUGAGAGAUGCAGAAAGAAGUCGAUGAACUCUGAAAAUAACUAUCUACAUUACAGAAUUGCAAAUAAAAAGGAGUAAACGAUCCAUUUUUGUCUGCGAAGGGGAGAAACCUUUUGAAUACAGACUGCACAGUGAAGCAAAAUUUUUUUGGGGGGGGGGGGGGGUGAGGCAGGGUUUCCUUUUCAGCUCUUUUGCCCUGCAGUUUUUAUAACAGAACUCUGAAAAGUCUGAUUACAGUCACAGACAGCUAAGGACCUGAAUGGCCUUCGAAAAUACAGUACUAAAAGGGUAAAAAGGGCGUAACUCUGGAUAUGUUGCUACAGAAAAUGUAUAAAUAUAUUUAUUUAACAUGGAUUUUAGAAACAAUAUUUUUUUACAAAAGAAAAACCCUUUCCUAAAACGAGUUUUCAUGGGCUGCUUAGACUGUGCAUGUAAAUGGUAACUGCCAUUUAGCUGAUCCUCCAGUGCAUGGAUGGUGUGUAAUACUGUUCCAUGGUUUUUUGUGCAGUAGCAGCAACAGUGAUGUAUGUGGUACGAUUCCCUGCACGAAUGAUGUCUUAGUCUUCACUCUUUUAUACUGUGGGGAUAGAAGGUGAUGACAAGUAUGUACAUGUAUAGGAGACACACUAUCCAUUAUAUUAUACGUCUAUGCAACAAAUGGACACACACCCACACUCUGGUUUACUGGGUACCAUAUUGUCCAUCACGCUUGCUUUGUACAGUUAAUAGGCUUGCUUUGGUCUGUGGUGGGGGUUAAUGCCAAGACUUGAUUCUCCCCAGUAUAUGGAAUGGGGGGGGGGUUAUUCCCACCAUUCCCUGAAGCACAUGGAUUGAGUGCUACUGCUCUGAUUCCCUGCAGCACAUGGAUGCUAUGUGGUAUUACUCCACAGUUCCUUGAGUGGUUCCUGAAAUUCUUUCCAGCUAUACCUGGAAAUGUCCCAUAAUUCCUGCCUUUAUCACCUAUGAUGCUGUUAGCAUGGUACAGUUCUGCACUCAGUGCCUUGCAUCACUGAUCACGUCUCUACAAGUGAGGUCUUUAUUGCUACCUGAUUUGUCUAUAACAGAACUAAUCACCCAGCUUUUUUAAGCACUCUUCAUUAGUCUUUCACAUCCCCAAAGUUCUGAUAUCUAGUUGUACACAGUCUGAAAAAUAUAUUGUACUCUACUAAACUAGACUUUUAAAACUUGUACACCCCACUCCACUUCUGGAUGAAUGUAACAUAACGCACACUAAGCAACUGAUGCAAACAUACUGAAAAUUUCAACUCUGGUCACCCAAGCAAAAUCACUUUAUUUGGUUGUACGACACACCUCUUAUUUUCCAACAUGUACAUAAAGACUGUUUCUGGAAUGGAAUAAAAUUUUAAAGAAACAAA
Protopterus annectens (West African lungfish) is the source of this 3168-nucleotide RNA transcript. It is a transcript of the gene named clathrin heavy chain 1-like, with no coding region annotated. The transcript is spliced from 10 exons. The record is from RefSeq and is a predicted model, not a curated record. Lineage: Eukaryota; Metazoa; Chordata; Ceratodontiformes; Protopteridae.